CCUACGGGGCGCUGCAGUGGGGAAUAUUGGACAAUGGGCGAAAGCCUGAUCCAGCCAUGCCGCGUGUGUGAAGAAGGCCUUCGGGUUGUAAAGCACUUUCAGUGGGGAAGAAAGCCUUGGGGCUAAUACCCUCGAGGAAGGACAUCACCCACAGAAGAAGCACCGGCUAACUCCGUGCCAGCAGCCGCGGUAAUACGGAGGGUGCGAGCGUUAAUCGGAAUUACUGGGCGUAAAGCGCGCGUAGGCGGUCUGAUAAGCCGGUUGUGAAAGCCCCGGGCUCAACCUGGGAACGGCAUCCGGAACUGUCAGGCUAGAGUGCAGGCGAGGAAGGUAGAAUUCCCGGUGUAGCGGUGAAAUGCGUAGAGAUCGGGAGGAAUACCAGUGGCGAAGGCGGCCUUCUGGACUGACACUGACGCUGAGGUGCGAAAGCGUGGGUAGCAAACAGGAUUAGAUACCCGUGUAGUC
This 465-nucleotide ribosomal RNA is filed under the name Vreelandella stevensii. RNAcentral describes it as "partial 16S ribosomal RNA". It matches the Rfam family "Bacterial small subunit ribosomal RNA", at positions 338 to 795 of the family's 1533-position model. The record is from RNAcentral. Lineage: Bacteria; Pseudomonadati; Pseudomonadota; Gammaproteobacteria; Oceanospirillales; Halomonadaceae.